AGUGAACGCUGGCGGUAGGCCUAACACAUGCAAGUCGAACGGCAGCACAGUAAGAGCUUGCUCUUACGGGUGGCGAGUGGCGGACGGGUGAGGAAUACAUCGGAAUCUACUUUUUCGUGGGGGAUAACGUAGGGAAACUUACGCUAAUACCGCAUACGACCUACGGGUGAAAGCAGUGGAUCUUCGGACCUUGCGCGAUUGAAUGAGCCGAUGUCGGAUUAGCUAGUUGGCGGGGUAAAGGCCCACCAAGGCGACGAUCCGUAGCUGGUCUGAGAGGAUGAUCAGCCACACUGGAACUGGGACACGGUCCAGACUCCUACGGGAGGCAGCAGUGGGGAAUAUUGGACAAUGGGCGCAAGCCUGAUCCAGCCAUACCGCGUGGGUGAAGAAGGCCUUCGGGUUGUAAAGCCCUUUUGUUGGGAAAGAAAAGCAGCAGGUUAAUACCCCGCUGUUCUGACGGUACCCAAAGAAUAAGCACCGGCUAACUUCGUG
Molecule: ribosomal RNA, 492 nt
Filed under: uncultured bacterium
Lineage: Bacteria
Description: partial 16S ribosomal RNA
Rfam family: Bacterial small subunit ribosomal RNA
Source: RNAcentral